CAACACAACAUUGCCUUUUAGAUACUAGGGAAUUAUAAAUUCUUAUCUUUUACACUUCUAUCUAGAUUUCGACAUAGAGCGAUAUGACGUUAUUACAGCGAGUUCCCUUUAUUUUAUUUUAAUAAAGUGAAGUUACCUGUUACCAAUGGUUAAUUUUCUUUAUGCAUAAGCAUUCAGUUUACGCAUAAGGUUCCGAUAUGGUAGGAAAAAAAUCGUGGUUUCUAGAAUAUUGUAAAUCGACAUUGAAAGAGAAGCCACAUGAGGUUUUGUAUGGAAAUAUUGAAGACUAGGAAUUGGUUUGAGACUUUAUUUUAUUCCUUUCCAUAUAAUUUGAAAGAAUAGUUCUUCCUGACGUCCUUUCGUAAAAAUGGAUCAGUUUAUAUAUCUUAUUUUAACUCAAAGAUCGUUCAGUUAGAAAGAAACGAAAAAUCGAAAAUAGAGGAUGAAAACAAGGAAUUGAAAAAAAGAGAGCGAGUCCAAAUAAUGGAAAAUAUAUACAAAUCAAAAAAGAAAUAGUUUUAUUAUAGAUAUAGCCUUUGUGAAAAAAAUAACAAGUUAGAGGAGAUAGGAAUUGGAAGAAUAGGCAUUAUACCCUCUUUUAAAACAAAACAUUGUGAAUUUGUAAAGAUCAAACGAUGUUUCAUCAAACAUUGAUAGAGCUGAUUGUUUCAUCUAUUGUUUAUUGGUUCUUUUGGAUAUAACAAUUUGUCUUGGUAAUUCAAAUUUAGAUCAAUAAGUGGUAGGAUUGAUAUGGUUUUGAAAAUUUUGUGAUGUGUUUUAAAAUUAUUAGAGAUUUAGAUUUGGAUCAUAGUAUAAAGUACUUUUUCUGAAUUAAUAAUAUCAGAAUUAUAAUAAUCACAGUAAAUGUUAGUAUAGGAUUAUAUGAUUUGACAAAGUAACUUAUGUAAUCUUAAUUUAUAACUAAUUCACAAAGUAAAAAAUAAAACGAUAUUAUAGCCAACAUAUUUCUUACAAUGUAUUACCGAUUCAUAUAUUAUUUAAGGAUGAUAAUGUCUAAUUAUCUCAUAUUUCUGACUAAGUCAUCUAAUUGUUUCAAGUAUUGUUGGUAGUGAAAGAAAGUUUAAUAUAGAGUAUUAUUUAGGGAUGGUGUGUUUAAUUUUUUAAUUUCUUUAGCUAAUUCGUUGCUGUUAUAUUUUACUUAGAAUAUUUCAAAUUUGUUGUAGAUUUUCAAACUAUUAUAAAUAAAUUUGAGAAUAAUAUUAUCAAUGGUACUUAUAUUUAAGAUUCAGUGUGAAUAUGCUUAGUUUUUUUAGGUUUGUGAGAGACAUGUAGUAACAAUAUAUGGACUUUUGUUCUGUCUGUACUAUGAUAUAACCAGUUAUUAUUGCUCUUUAAAUUACUAAAUUAAUUUACCAUCUGCCAUCUACCAUCUACGAUCUUCCAUCUAUCAUUUACCAUUUACCAUCUACCAUCUACUAUCUACUGUCUACUAUCUAUUAUCUAUUACCUAUAUUAUAUAUAUACACCUCUCAUAGACAUUAAAAAAAUAUACAUACAUAUAUGAAUUAUUACUAUUACUAUUGAUAAACAAAAUAUUGAGAUAGUUAAAUAUUAUAUAAUAAAACUAUCAGGAGAAACAUACAGUAAUCCUUCGAAAAGAUAACUAAUAGUAGAUAGUUGUUCUUUUAAGGUACAAUUUGUGUGAGCCUCAACAGAUAGCUUCUGCUUCAUUUUCCUAAUCAUUAUUAUAAAGCAUUUCCUAAAUGUCCUAAAGCAUUCCAAAAUAUAGGAAACAUCUAUGCGCCAAAAUAGGCAUAUAUUGCGAAAAGUGUAUCAUUAAAGAAAUUAACAUAGCACAUUUGGAUUAUGAAACUAAUGGGCUGACGGUGAUUCUACAGUAAAAUUUGCGAUAUCGGGUUGACGCCACUUAUCAAGAAUUUAGGCCCCAACGCUAACUGAAGGAGAGUCAGUCUCCGCUUAUGGAGUAGAAUGUUGCAAUAUCGGAACUACAAUCAUCACUAUUAAAUACGACCAGUCGUGCUUCCGAAUUUCGAGUAAUAAAACGAAGUCCACGAUAAGAUUUCUAAUUGCGCCUUCGAACAUUUGCACCUAUAUUUCGCCGAUGCGUGCGUGAGUUUAAAAUGACAGCGCUCUAAUAUUAUCUGCGAUAUUGGGAUGAACUUAUCGAGAAUUCAGGUUCUAAUGCUAACUGGAAGAGGAUCAAUCCUCGCUUACAGAUAGUAGAACUAUCACACAUUGAUAGCUUGAUACACCAUUCUUUUACCGAUCUUUUAUUUGAAAUUUAGAACAAUAAAUCAUAAUCCAUGGUAGUACUAGUUCCGUGCUACGUGUGUCUUAUCCUGUCCGUAUAGAAGAGAAAAAGAGAAAAAGGAGACAAAGAGAAGGAGCAAAGGAGAGAAAAAGGAGAGACCCGCUCAAAGGUCUACAAAGGUCCAAGCGCCUAUCUGAGAAUAUUAGAACUAGAAUAAUUAAUCUAAUAUAAUUGUUUAAACUAUUAUAUAACUGUUUUUCAAUAAAUAGAGAUAGUUUAUUUAUUUCUGGAUAUACGAAAGAUCAUUCCUAUUAAGUACAUCCUGUAGUCUGCCAAUCAAUAUGCAAGGAAAAAAAUAGAAAAAAAUAAAUCAUCAUCUGUGUAACACAUCUCGUUUAAAACUUAAAAAAGGAGACUGAUAACAAAGAGGUGCAUCUUGAAGAUAGUUACAUCGAAAAAAAAUUUUCUGGUGUGCUCGGUUCAGCUUUGUGUGCACAUUAGUGCAAUGCACUUUCAGUGGUCUCUAUAAUUACCAUAUUUAAUAUUUUUCGUAGCUGUUACUUUUCUAUAGAACUCGAUUUUAUUAAAAUAAAAUUAAGCAUUUAAUUCUACUUUAGAAAAGAGAACAAGUAGAAAAUUUAUGUUAUGAUUUUAAUAAUAAAAAUGCAUAAAAUAUGAAAUAACUUUAUUCGCGUACGCGUGGCAAAUUGGGAACGGAGAUAGAAUGUUACGUCAUUUCAAUUUUUCUAAUCUCGAUUAAUCUAACUACACCCAUCAUCAUAAGAGCAUUUUGAAUGACAGCAUGAUAAAAUUAAAAGUUGACUAAGAGUUAUUCUUGAAAGGUUCUAGUAAAUCUACGAAAAUAACUCUAUAGCUUAAUAAUUGUUCUCUUCAGCCACAGUUUGUGGGGAUUUCUUCGGCAUAUCAUCUUUUUCGUUUUGUGUUCUAAUUUAACUGGUCGUCAUUCAAAAAAUGUAAUAACGAAAUCCGAUUCCAGAUUCUAAGAUAUGGAAGAAAAAUAUGCAACUCUAACAAGCCUCAUUUCUUUGAAUAGAAACUAAUUACUAUCUUAUUGAGAUAUCUUUUCGCAGCAUAUACUCAAUCGUGAUUUAGGUUGAAAUUGAGGGUGAAUGAUUGAUAAUGAUUAGUUGUAAUGGUUUAUAAUGAGGUAAAUUGACAUAGUUGUAAAUUAAGAUGCUUUUUAAGGAUGAAUUAUACGUGAUAGUUAUUUUUUAACGGACGAUCACUAAAGAGUCUGUAAUUUACACUGUCUUUUAUAAAUACAAUCUGUACGAUUGUUAAAAAAACAAUAAACUUUGCGAAUAAAUACUGACUCUAACGACUGUAUUGCACAUAAUCGGUGUAAGUUCACUUGUUGUUUAUAUCGCGAAACGUGAACGACGCUUCUACAUAGAACUUACUACAUAGUAAGCGAUUUUUUGGUUUCUGUUUUAGUGAUAGGAACACUCGACUACAUCAUUGCUUCACGUACAUUCUGAAACAGAAAAACUAUUAGUUACAAAUUUCUAAUAUGAAAUAGUAUAUUCCGACAACAUUUUAAAUUAUUUAAACAAUUCUAAAAUAACCAAAAAUAUGAUUUAUUUAAGCUUACUCGUUUGAAAAGAUACUUCAUCGAUCUUUACUUAUUAAAAUCCAAAAGAAAACUCUUUCAAUAACAGUCAAAGUUAGUAAAAACUUAAUUUCUGUUAAUUUAAACAA
Vespula vulgaris is the source of this 3952-nucleotide long non-coding RNA. RefSeq lists it as uncharacterized. The record is from RefSeq and is a predicted model, not a curated record. Lineage: Eukaryota; Metazoa; Arthropoda; Insecta; Hymenoptera; Vespidae. The transcript is spliced from 3 exons.